Molecule: ribosomal RNA, 144 nt
Filed under: uncultured eukaryote
Lineage: Eukaryota
Description: partial 18S ribosomal RNA
Rfam family: Eukaryotic small subunit ribosomal RNA
Source: RNAcentral
UGGUGGAGCGAUUUGUCUGGUUAAUUCCGUUAACGAACGAGACCUCGACCUACUAAAUAGUUCCAUUCAAGUUUCGGCUUGGAUUGGUUUGACUUCUUAGAGGGACUAUCGGUGUGUAGCCGAUGGAAGUUCGAGGCAAUAACA